UACGGAGGGGGCAAGCGUUAUUCGGAAUUAUUGGGCGUAAAGGGCGCGUAGGCGGCUAGAUGUGUCAAAGGUGAAAUCCCUCGGCUCAACUGAGGAACUGCCUUUGAAACUGUCUGGCUUGAGGCCGGGAGAGGGUAGCGGAAUUCCCAGUGUAGCGGUGAAAUGCGUAGAUAUUGGGAGGAACACCUGUGGCGAAAGCGGCGCACUGGACCACAACUGACGCUGAGGCGCGAAAGCUAGGGGAGCAAACAGG
RNAcentral lists this ribosomal RNA (253 nucleotides) under uncultured bacterium. RNAcentral's name for it is "partial 16S ribosomal RNA". It matches the Rfam family "Bacterial small subunit ribosomal RNA", at positions 524 to 776 of the family's 1533-position model. The record is from RNAcentral.